AAAAAUUUAUGAUUUAAAAAAUUUAUUUUAAGUUUAAUUUAUAUGUAAAUUUUUGUAUGAAUUUUAUUGUAUUUUAAUAAUAUGAUAAUUAAAUUAAUAGUAAUUAAAAUUAAAAAUUUAAGAAAUUAAGAUUUAGGAAUAUGAUUAAUAAAUAACAAAUUUUGUGCCAGCAGUUGCGGUUAUACAAAAAUUUAAAUAAAUUUUAUUAAUAAAAAAUAAUAUAAUUUAAAUUAAAUUAAAUUUAAAAUUAUUAAGUGAAAUUUUAAUUUUAAAAAAAGUUAUAUCAAUUAAAAUUUAUGAAUUUUAAAAAUUUUAUAGUUAGACUAGGAUUAGAUACCCUAUUAUAAAAAAUUAAUUUAAAAUAUUAAAAUAGUAAAUAAUUAUUUAUUGAAACUUAAAUAAUUUGGCGGUAUUUUAGUUCAUUUAGAGGAAUCUGUUUAUUAAUUGAUAAUCCACGAAUAAUUAUAUUUAAUUUAAAAUUUUAUAUAUCGUUGUUAAAAAAAUAUUUUUUUAAAAAAAUAAUAUUUUAAAAUUUUAAAAUGAAAUUAAUUCAGAUCAAGAUGUAGAUUAUAAUUAAAUUUAAAAUGGAUUACAAUAUAAUUAUAUAAAUGGAAAAUAAUUUAAAAUAUUUAUUUGAAAGUGGAUUUAAAUGUAAUUUUAAAUAAUUUUUUAAAAUGAUUAAAAAUUGGAGUAUGUACAUAUUGCCCGUCACUUUCAUUAAAAAAUUGAAAUAAGUCGUAACAAAGUAGGGGUACUGGAAAGUGUUUCUAGAAA
This 774-nucleotide non-coding RNA is filed under the name Aporia largeteaui. Lineage: Eukaryota; Metazoa; Arthropoda; Insecta; Lepidoptera; Pieridae. The record is from RNAcentral.